CUUCCUGCUUUGCAUAAAAGGGAUCAGACAGCCGUUAAAUCUGAAGGCUUGUUACAAUUCUGACGACAUUUGUUCAAACCACUAGAAAGCAUCAGCUAUGGUGUCGGUUGUUUCAGUUGCCUGGAUCAUUUUAUUCUACUCUGUUGGGACUGAGGGUCAGAUCACAAUGACUCUGACUCCAGCCACAGUCUCAGUGUCUCCUGAGCAGGAUGUCAGUCUCCAGUGCAGCGCAAGUCAGGGCAUUAGCUGGAGUUUAACCUGGUACCAGCUCAAGCCUGGGCACAGUCCCAGACUGCUGAUUAAAGCUGGGGAUGAGAGAUUCCAUGGAGUUCCCACUCAUUUCGGUGGCAGCAGAUCGGGAACUGUCUUCACCUUCAAAAUCACUGGAGUCCAGGCUGAAGAUGCAGGAGAUUAUUACUGUCAGCAGUAUGACAGCACUCAACCCAGCAGCAAAACCCUACCCUCUUGACAUGUUUAGCUGCCGUUGACUGCUGGUAAACAACUUUACAAAUUAAUGCUCAAAACUGGACCACCAUUUUAAUUUGUUUCUUCCUACCUUACAGCCAGUAUAUUUACCCAAAAGUCUCUGUACAGUAGAGAGAGCAACAGAAGAUGGGGAGAAGGCAUAUACUCAUCUAAUGUCAGCUGCUGCAUGUGUAUCCCAAUGGCAGUUCAGAGCUCUGUAACCCCACGGUGCAAAUACUGAACCCUGAUCACGACUCUAGACCAGACUUUGGGUUCUUUGCUCCUUGUGUCUGGAGGACAAUGUGGGAAGAAAUCACAACAGACCUGCAAGAUCAAACAGGAAUAUAUAACACUGUGAAAAAAAAUAUGUUUCCUUUUCUACACUCCACGGAGUACGCUAUUGUAUUCUACAUUCUAGAUUUUUUUUUCAAGAAAAAAGUCAUUCUGGCCCCCGGUUUACACUGAGGAAAAGUGGGAUUAUUGCUGACUUCUGAACACAGCAUUCUUGCAUAUGAGUGAAGUGCUUUCAUUGGUGCCUUAAGGUGUGUUUCGUUAAUGAGGUCAAGUGUGAUCUUCUUCAGAGAAAAGACUCAUGCAUUGAGGAAAACUGCCUACACAUCUCUCUGCUGUUUGCAGGUGUGUUUUGUUAAUGAGGUCAAGUGAGAUCUUCUGAGAAAAGACUCAUGCAUUGAAGAAAACCACCUACCCAUCUCUCUGCUGUUUGCAGAUAGGAAACAAAAAGAGGAAAUGAAAGAGAGAACUCUCAGAAGAUGUAUCGAAAGACUCUGCAGUGUCUCGAACCCUCUCUUCUAGGUUGCCAGCUCUCUGGUCCUGGGAAGCCUUCUGUGUGGAGUCUGGAUGUUCUCACUCUGAUCAAGGAGGAUUUGUCUUUGUCCUCCAGUUCUUCCCGCCUCCUGAGCCCUGAUUGCCAGAAUAAUCGAUCUCUGCAAGUUAUUGCCCCUGUCUGCUGGUAUCAAAGUGCACUGGGAUGGACUGGCAUCCUAGCUGCUGUCCCUCCUUGCGCGUAGACCUCCAGAUUAGACUCUGGACCAGGAAUAAGAGACUUUCUGAUGAUGGAUGGAUUCAAAAGGAUGUGUGAUGCAAGAACACAACCACAUGCAUAUUGGUUGCAUAUUAUCAGUUGAUCUUCCUAGUUAGAUUCCUCACUGGGUCGCCGUCUGUAACCCUGUCAGCAGCAGAACCAUGAGUCCCCCCACAGACUGGACUCCAGUGGUUUGGUGGUGAGCAACUGUGUGACAGAGAGUAGGAGGUGGGGUUUAUUAUGAAUUACAGAGCAGGGUCAGUCAGCAGGGCUUUGAAGUGUUGUGAUUGCUUCUCUUUUGCUUCCUCUGCAAAAAUUAAACCCAAGAG
This is a non-coding RNA of Lepisosteus oculatus (spotted gar), 1836 nucleotides long. The record is from RefSeq and is a predicted model, not a curated record. NCBI's taxonomy places the organism in Eukaryota, Metazoa, Chordata, Actinopteri, Semionotiformes, Lepisosteidae.